AACCGGAGGAAGGUGGGAUGACGUCAAGUCCUCAUGGCCCUUACAGGCUGGGCUACACACGUGCUACAAUGGCAUCUACAGUGGGCAGCUAUUCCGUAAGGAUGCGCUAAUCUCCAAAAGAUGUCUCAGUUCGGAUUGUCCUCUGCAACUCGAGGGCAUGAAGGCGGAAUCGCUAGUAAUCGCGGAUCAGCAUGCCGCCGGUGAACCUACGUUCCAGGCCUU
RNAcentral lists this ribosomal RNA (222 nucleotides) under uncultured Porphyrobacter sp. Its description in RNAcentral is "partial 16S ribosomal RNA". It matches the Rfam family "Bacterial small subunit ribosomal RNA", at positions 1161 to 1381 of the family's 1533-position model. Lineage: Bacteria; Pseudomonadati; Pseudomonadota; Alphaproteobacteria; Sphingomonadales; Erythrobacteraceae. The record is from RNAcentral.